This 305-nucleotide ribosomal RNA is filed under the name uncultured bacterium. RNAcentral's name for it is "bacterial SSU rRNA". It matches the Rfam family "Bacterial small subunit ribosomal RNA", at positions 29 to 334 of the family's 1533-position model. The record is from RNAcentral.
AACGAACGCUGGCGGCAUGCCUAACACAUGCAAGUCGAACGAGAACGGGACUUCGGUCCUUAUUAGAGUGGCGCACGGGUGAGUAACGCGUAGACAAUCUACCUUCAAGUCUGGGAUAACCUUUCGAAAGGGAGGCUAAUACCGGAUAAAAAUUGGAAUCGAGUGGUUCUAAUUUAAAAGCUCCGACGCUUGGAGAUGAGUCUGCGUUCCAUUAGCUAGUUGGCAGGGUAAUGGCCUACCAAGGCGACGAUGGAUAGCGGGUCUGAGAGGAUGAUCCGCCACACUGGAACUGAGACACGGUCCAG